Long non-coding RNA from Ahaetulla prasina, 981 nucleotides. RefSeq lists it as uncharacterized. Lineage: Eukaryota; Metazoa; Chordata; Lepidosauria; Squamata; Colubridae. The transcript is spliced from 3 exons. The record is from RefSeq and is a predicted model, not a curated record.
CGCCUCUCAGGCUCCGCCUCUUCCCCUUCCCUUCUCUCCCACCCUGCCGGCAGUGGCGGCGGAUCGGCUCUUCUCUCGCGGUCGAGUCCGGUCGGGCUGCCUGGCACCUGCAUAGCAAAACGUUCCGCCGCCCCCGGGUUUCUUAGCCUGCUCAGCAGAGCAAACAAAACUUUCAAGAGGCCCAUUAUCUGCUGUUCCCUCCCAAAGCUUGGAUAGUCUUAAAUUCCACUUUUUUUUUUCAACCUCAAAUUGUUGGAAAAAUCGGUAUAUGCCCACUGUCUUCAGUACACUCGUUUCGGUAGCGGGUUUUUUUAUCACGUUCUUUCACGUGUUUUUUUUUAAUCGCGUUCUACCCACCGCGUAGGUUGAAAAUAAAAUGCUUUCUUCCACCAGAGAAAUUUUAUCGUACCUAUGUACAUGUUACAAUUAAUAUAAUGCAAAACAAACGACUUAAUGUAUACAUGGAAGCGGCUAACCUGAAUAAUUGCAUUUGUUUUGCUGAUAAAUAGCAGUGGAAUUCACCCAAAAAUAUUCAGGCAAUUCUGGAAAGAAAAUAUGCACCAUAUGCCCAGCCAAUCUUAGCUAGUAUUUGAAGAUACAAGAAGACUGGCAAAUCACGUCCAAAAACACCCAAGAAUACCAUACUUUACCAGGAGUAAAAACUGACUUGGACACAUUCUCAAAGCCAUGUGGAUACUUACUGCAGUAUUGCUUUUGUAUUCAAUAUCCGAAAUUGUUGAACUUAAUUUAGAAGAACCACUUUCAACCUAGCAAACUUCUCAUGAUUCUCAGCCAUUCUGAGUGAUGAUUGAUAAAGAAUAGCUGAAGCUGUUUUAACUACUUCCCCAUAAGUCAUAAGCAGUUUAAGAGCUCCACCACUUUCCUGUAUUUGGAGAGGAACUCAGCAUGUAAAAAAAAAUUAUUUGAGAAAAUAAGAUAAAGUUCAGCCUGGGGAUAAAUGCUGUUCUAGCUAUUAACGCC